This 925-nucleotide long non-coding RNA is filed under the name Homo sapiens (human). RNAcentral's name for it is "ADAPT34". Lineage: Eukaryota; Metazoa; Chordata; Mammalia; Primates; Hominidae. The record is from RNAcentral.
CUUAUUCCAUGGGAUCCAUUAAUAUUUGGGUAACUAGACAAGGGUAUUUAGCAAUCCAGGGAUGCAGAUGCUGUGAAAUGGCUCAGUCAGAGAAUGCAAUGGAAGGUUGGACUGAAAUCAUCUGAUACCAUCCACGAAGGGGGUCUAGAGCUCAUUAUCAUUUUCUAAAUUUUUUGCCAAAGGGAAGUUCAGUUCCAUAUCUCUUGCUUUUCUUUUUGCUUAUCCUUGUUUUUCUACACACCUCACUGGCUGCUCCUUCUCAGCCUCCUUUGAUAAUUCCUCUGCACCUCCCAGAUCUUUAAACACGGGUAUGUUUCAGGACUCAGUUCUCUCACACAGGUGAUCUCUUUGUAUUCUGCAGCUUUAAAUGUGACCACUAACUUUAAAAUUCCUAAAUUUAUAUUUCCAGUGUGAAUUUCUCUCUGGAACUGGAAAUGCAUAUCUUCAUUUCUUGCCGCCAUCUUCCAGUAAUUCGCCAAAAUGACGAACACAAAGGGAAAGAGGAGAGGCACCCGAUAUAUGUUCUCUAGGCCUUUUAGAAAACAUGGAGUUGUUCCUUUGGCCACAUAUAUGCGAAUCUAUAAGAAAGGUGAUAUUGUAGACAUCAAGGGAAUGGGUACUGUUCAAAAAGGAAUGCCCCACAAGUGUUACCAUGGCAAAACUGGAAGAGUCUACAAUGUUACCCAGCAUGCUGUUGGCAUUGUUGUAAACAAACAAGUUAAGGGCAAGAUUCUUGCCAAGAGAAUUAAUGUGCGUAUUGAGCACAUUAAGCACUCUAAGAGCCGAGAUAGCUUCCUGAAACGUGUGAAGGAAAAUGAUCAGAAAAAGAAAGAAGCCAAAGAGAAAGGUACCUGGGUUCAACUAAAGCGCCAGCCUACUCCACCCAGAGAAGCACACUUUGUGAGAACCAAUGGGAAGGAGCCUG